This 449-nucleotide ribosomal RNA is filed under the name uncultured bacterium. RNAcentral's name for it is "partial 16S ribosomal RNA". It matches the Rfam family "Bacterial small subunit ribosomal RNA", at positions 29 to 523 of the family's 1533-position model. The record is from RNAcentral.
AACGAACGCUGGCGGCAGGCUUAACACAUGCAAGUCGAACGAUGUAGCAAUACAUAGUGGCGCACGGGUGAGUAACGCGUGGGAACGUGCCUUUUAGUUGGGAAUAACCACUGGAAACGGUGGCUAAUACCCGAUACGCCCUUCGGGGGAAAGAUUUAUCGCUAAAAGAUCGGCCCGCGUGAGAUUAGGUAGUUGGUGGGGUAAUGGCCUACCAAGCCUACGAUCUCUAGCUGGUCUGAGAGGAUGAUCAGCCACACUGGAACUGAGACACGGCCCAGACUCCUACGGGAGGCAGCAGUGGGGAAUAUUGGACAAUGGGCGAAAGCCUGAUCCAGCAAUGCCGCGUGAGUGAUGAAGGCCUUAGGGUUGUAAAGCUCUUUUACCAGGGAUGAUAAUGACAGUACCUGGAGAAUAAGCUCCGGCUAACUCCGUGCCAGCAGCCGCCGUAA